GGAGAAGGGUGGUACUUUGUGAAGAAAAUGCCUUAUUUUGAAGAGAAAAAUAGUGUAAUGGUUGCCGACUUCCUAUUUUGGGGAGAAAGCUGGUAUUUUGGGGGAGAAAAUGUUUUAUUUUCAAUAGAAAAUUGGUAUUAGCAGGUGAGAAGACUUAUUUUGGGGAGAAAAUUGAUAGUGAUUGGUUUCAAUUUGGGCUGAGAAAAUGUCAUUUUUGGGUGGUAACUGGUAUCCUGCAAGAGAAAACGGCCCAGUUUUGUGAGUAGUGUCAUUUUUUUGGUAGAGAAAAUGCCAUAUAUUGGGUAGGAAAGUGGUAUUUGGGUGGAGAAAAUGUUAUAUAUUUGGGAGAAAGUUGGUAUUUUGAGGAGAAAAUGUCAUAUUUUGAGGUGAGAAGUGCUAUUCUGUGGAAGCAGUGGUCAGAAUUUUUGGAGAAAAUUGGUAUUUGGGGGUGAAAAUAAAAUAUUUUUGCAAAAAAAAGUGGUAUUUGGGGGAGAUAAUGUCACAUUUUUGGGAGAAAAAUGGUAUUUUGGGGAGACGAUGUCAUAUUUUGGAGAAAAGUGGUGUUUUGGGGGAGGAAAAGUGUUAUUCGGGGGACAAAGUUGUCAUAAUUUGGGGAGAAAUCUGGUAUUUUCUGAAAAGAAUGCCUUAUUUUCCGGUGAAAAGUGGCGUUCUUCUGGGAAAAAAAUGCCUUAUUUUCGUGAGAGAUGUAGUAUUUUGGUAGAGAAAAUGUCAAAGACUGGAGAGGGAAGUGGUAUUUUGGGGGAGAAAAGUGGUAUUCAGGGGACGAUAUUGUCAAAUUUGGGGGAGAAAAGUGGUAUUUAAGAGAGAAAAUAUCGGUUUUUUUUUUGUUUUUUUGAAGAAAAGUGGUAUUUUCGAGAGAAAAAUGGUCAUUUGGGGGAGGAAAGUGGUAUUUUGCAAGAGAAAAUUUUAUAUUCUCAUGAGAAGUGUCAUCUUAUGCGUAAAAAAAAUGUAAUUUUAUGGAGAACAGUAGUAUAGAAAAUGUCUGAUUUUGGAGAACAAAUCUGUAUUUUUGGGAGAAGGCUGGUAUUGUGUGCAGAACGUGUCU
This 1066-nucleotide long non-coding RNA is filed under the name Gallus gallus (chicken). RNAcentral describes it as "lncRNA (ENSGALG00010028213.1)". The record is from RNAcentral. Lineage: Eukaryota; Metazoa; Chordata; Aves; Galliformes; Phasianidae.